Non-coding RNA from Paramuricea clavata, 116 nucleotides. NCBI's taxonomy places the organism in Eukaryota, Metazoa, Cnidaria, Anthozoa, Malacalcyonacea, Plexauridae. The record is from the annotation of a GenBank genome assembly.
UUUCUUCUUCUGAUGAAUGUGAACGAGUGGAUGAGUUAUGAAUGUUCAGAUGAGGGUAUAUCAUAGAUAUCUUAUAUAUAGUUCAUCCACUCGUUCACAUGCAUCAGAAGAAGAAA